This 56-nucleotide transfer RNA is filed under the name Moraxella sp. RNAcentral's name for it is "tRNA-Cys". It matches the Rfam family "tRNA", at positions 9 to 64 of the family's 71-position model. From Rfam's summary of the family: Transfer RNA (tRNA) molecules are approximately 80 nucleotides in length. Lineage: Bacteria; Pseudomonadati; Pseudomonadota; Gammaproteobacteria; Moraxellales; Moraxellaceae. RNAcentral also lists the same sequence under 3 other names. The record is from RNAcentral.
GGCAGAGUGGUCAUGCAGCGGACUGCAACUCCGUGUACGCCGGUUCGAUUCCGACC